UCCAGAACACAAAUAGCAAAAUAUAAAUUUGAGGGCAAAAAGGAUAGAUCUUCAUGCAAAUAUCAAAUGAGCUAAUUAGGACUUGAUCAAAUUAGGUAACUCACACUCCAAAUAGUACCUACUAUUUUCAAAUCUCAAAGAAGAAUUACCACUUCAUUUUUAACCAGCAGUUAAGCAAGAAAAGGUGGUAUGGCCAUGAACGGUUGCUCCUGG
This 213-nucleotide unclassified non-coding RNA is filed under the name Hevea brasiliensis (rubber tree). The record is from RNAcentral. Lineage: Eukaryota; Viridiplantae; Streptophyta; Magnoliopsida; Malpighiales; Euphorbiaceae.